RNAcentral lists this ribosomal RNA (433 nucleotides) under uncultured bacterium. RNAcentral describes it as "partial 16S ribosomal RNA". It matches the Rfam family "Bacterial small subunit ribosomal RNA", at positions 29 to 507 of the family's 1533-position model. The record is from RNAcentral.
AACGAACGCUGGCGGCAUGCCUAACACAUGCAAGUCGAACGACACCUUCGGGUCUAGUUGCGCACGGGUGCGUAACGCGUGGGAACCUGCCCUUAGGUUCGGAAUAACUCCCCGUAAGGGGUGCUAAUACCGGAUAAUGUCUUCGGACCAAAGAUUUAUCGCCUUUGGAUGGGCCCGCGUUGGAUUAGCUAGUUGGUAGGGUAAAAGCCUACCAAGGCGACGAUCCAUAGCUGGUCUGAGAGGAUGAUCAGCCACACUGGGACUGAGACACGGCCCAGAAUCCUACGGGAGGCAGCAGUGGGGAAUAUUGGACAAUGGGGGAAAGCCUGAUCCAGCAAUGCCGCGUGAGUGAUGAAGGCCGUAGGGUAGUAAAGCUCUUUUACCCGCGAUGAUAAUGACAGUACCGGGAGAAUAAGCACCGGCUAACUCCGUG